Molecule: ribosomal RNA, 447 nt
Filed under: uncultured bacterium
Lineage: Bacteria
Description: bacterial SSU rRNA
Rfam family: Bacterial small subunit ribosomal RNA
Source: RNAcentral
CCCAGACUCCUACGGGAGGCAGCAGUGGGGGAUAUUGCACAAUGGGGGAAACCCUGAUGCAGCGACGCCGCGUGAGUGAAGAAGUAUUUCGGUAUGUAAAGCUCUAUCAGCAGGGACGAAAAUGACGGUACCUGACUAAGAAGCCCCGGCUAACUACGUGCCAGCAGCCGCGGUAAUACGUAGGGGGCAAGCGUUAUCCGGAUUUACUGGGUGUAAAGGGAGCGUAGACGGUUACGCAAGUCUGGAGUGAAAGGCGGGGGCCCAACCCCCGGACUGCUUUGGAAACUGUAUAACUGGAGUGCAGGAGAGGUAAGUGGAAUUCCUAGUGUAGCGGUGAAAUGCGUAGAUAUUAGGAGGAACACCAGUGGCGAAGGCGACUUUCUGGACUGUACCUGACGCUGAGGCGCGAAAGCGUGGGUAGCGAACGGGAUUAGAUACCCUGGUAAU